RNAcentral lists this ribosomal RNA (193 nucleotides) under uncultured bacterium. RNAcentral's name for it is "partial 16S ribosomal RNA". It matches the Rfam family "Bacterial small subunit ribosomal RNA", at positions 340 to 524 of the family's 1533-position model. RNAcentral also lists the same sequence under 1 other name. The record is from RNAcentral.
UACGGGAGGCAGCAGUAGGGAAUCUUCGGCAAUGGGGGCAACCCUGACCGAGCAACGCCGCGUGAGUGAAGAAGGUUUUCGGAUCGUAAAGCUCUGUUGUAAGAGAAGAACGUGUGUGAGAGUGGAAAGUUCACACAGUGACGGUAACUUACCAGAAAGGGACGGCUAACUACGUGCCAGCAGCCGCGGUAAU